RNAcentral lists this ribosomal RNA (879 nucleotides) under uncultured bacterium. RNAcentral describes it as "bacterial SSU rRNA". It matches the Rfam family "Bacterial small subunit ribosomal RNA", at positions 43 to 916 of the family's 1533-position model. The record is from RNAcentral.
AAUGCUUUACACAUGCAAGUCGAACGGCAGCACGGGAGCUUGCUCCUGGUGGCGAGUGGCGAACGGGUGGGUAAUACAUAGGAACAUACCCAGUAAUGGGGGAUAACGCCGAGAAAUCGGUGCUAAUACCGCAUACGCCCUACGGGGGAAAGCGGGGGAUCUUCGGACCUCGCGUUAUUGGAUUGGCCUAUGUCUGAUUAGCUAGUUGGUGAGGUAAAGGCUCACCAAGGCUUCGAUCAGUAGCUGGUCUGAGAGGAUGAUCAGCCACACUGGAACUGAGACACGGUCCAGACUCCUACGGGAGGCAGCAGUGGGGAAUUUUGGACAAUGGGCGCAAGCCUGAUCCAGCAAUGCCGCGUGCAGGAUGAAGGCCUUCGGGUUGUAAACUGCUUUUGUACGGAACGAAACGGCUCUCAUUAAUACCGGGGGCUAAUGACGGUACCGUAAGAAUAAGCACCGGCUAACUACGUGCCAGCAGCCGCGGUAAUACGUAGGGUGCAAGCGUUAAUCGGAAUUACUGGGCGUAAAGCGUGCGCAGGCGGUUAUAUAAGACAGAUGUGAAAUCCCCGGGCUCAACCUGGGACCUGCAUUUGUGACUGUAUAGCUAGAGUACGGUAGAGGGGGAUGGAAUUCCGCGUGUAGCAGUGAAAUGCGUAGAUAUGCGGAGGAACACCGAUGGCGAAGGCAAUCCCCUGGACCUGUACUGACGCUCAUGCACGAAAGCGUGGGGAGCAAACGGGAUUAGAUACCCUGGUAGUCCACGCCCUAAACGAUGUCAACUGGUUGUUGGGUCUUCACUGACUCAGUAACGAAGCUAACGCGUGAAGUUGACCGCCUGGGGAGUACGGCCGCAAGGUUAAAACUCAAAUGAAUUGACGG